This 564-nucleotide long non-coding RNA is filed under the name Carica papaya (papaya). RNAcentral describes it as "long non-coding RNA (CPAP_LNC000066)". The record is from RNAcentral. Lineage: Eukaryota; Viridiplantae; Streptophyta; Magnoliopsida; Brassicales; Caricaceae.
UUCUUUUGGCGAUCGGAAGUGGCUCCGGCGUGGCGUUGGAUGGUGGUGGUUCUCCUUUCCAGCGAUUGGGUCUUUUUCUCCGAUGAGGGUGUCUGACGGCUAGGCUUAGGAUUUGGUGUGAAGAGAAUUAUUUAUAUUCGUCCCCUUUUAAUAUGGGCCGUCCAUCGCGAUUGAUCUGAAACGUCUGAUCGCAAUUAAAUAGGGAGUGAAUCUAGACCGUUCAUCGCUAUCUGAUAUGAACCGUCCAAUCGCGUUUAAAUAAGAAGUGGAUCUGGACCGUUGAUCGCAUUUAAAUCUGACCGUCCAAGCGCGUUUAGGGAGAGAACACAUCCAGGUCGUUUGUGCAUGCGGGAGCGAAUAUGGACGGUUUGAUCGCGGGCACGCGGAUCGCCCGCGUGGCCUCCCGUGUGGCACUGUGUCAGUGUCCGUUGCCACGUGGCGCGUUCUGGUUCGUAAGAGCUACUAACCGGGCAUCUUAUGUGGUAUAACUUUUUUAAAUUACAUUUUGACCCAUAGUUUUCGAUUUUUCUUUCAAAAAUACCCUCAAAAUCCAAAAUUUCACUU